AUUGAACGCUGGCGGCAGGCUUAACACAUGCAAGUCGAGCGGGGUGAUGGUGCUUGCACUAUCACUUAGCGGCGGACGGGUGAGUAAUGCUGAGGAAUCUGCCUAUUAGUGGGGGACAACAUCUCGAAAGGGAUGCUAAUACCGCAUACGUCCUACGGGAGAAAGCAGGGGAUCACUUGUGACCUUGCGCUAAUAGAUGAGCCGAAGUCGGGUUAGCUAGUUGGUGGGGUAGAGGCCUACCAAGGCGACGAUCUGUAGCGGGUCUGAGAGGAUGAUCCGCCACACUGGGACUGAGACACGGGCCAGACUCCUACGGGAGGCAGCAGUGGGGAAUAUUGGACAAUGGGGGGAACCCUGAUCCAGCCAUGCCGCGUGUGUGAAGAAGGCCUUAUGGUUGUAAAGCACUUUAAGCGAGGAGGAGGCUCUUUUGGUUAAUACCCAAGAUGAGUGGACGUUACUCGCAGAAUAAGCACCGGCUAACUCUGUGCCAGCCGCCGCCGUAA
This 503-nucleotide ribosomal RNA is filed under the name uncultured bacterium. RNAcentral describes it as "partial 16S ribosomal RNA". It matches the Rfam family "Bacterial small subunit ribosomal RNA", at positions 30 to 523 of the family's 1533-position model. The record is from RNAcentral.